CUGAUCAGACAACGUGGUUUG
RNAcentral lists this non-coding RNA (21 nucleotides) under Arabidopsis thaliana (thale cress). Lineage: Eukaryota; Viridiplantae; Streptophyta; Magnoliopsida; Brassicales; Brassicaceae. The record is from RNAcentral.